Triticum aestivum (bread wheat) is the source of this 142-nucleotide non-coding RNA. Lineage: Eukaryota; Viridiplantae; Streptophyta; Magnoliopsida; Poales; Poaceae. The record is from Rfam.
UAGAUACUCCCUCCGUCCGAAAAUACUUGUCAUCAAAAUGGACAAAAAGGGAUGCAUCUAGAACUAAAAUACAUCUAGAUACAUGAUACAUCCCCUUUUAUUCAUUUUGAUGACAAGUAUUUCCGGACGGAGGGAGUACUAA